GGCAGCAGGCAGAGACAAUCCAUCGCCGCCAACCGGCGAUUGAUUGCUUGGGGCUGAGAGCGAGGGCGGGGGAGAGCCUCCGCUGCGGGGCGGGGACCCGCCGGGCGCGAGCCUGCCGGCGCUGCGCGAGGGGGCGGGGCGGCGGCGGGGGCCCGCGACCGUUAAAGGCGUUGGAAGGCGGCGCGCGCGGGAGCGGCGCCUCAGGGCGGGUGGGGCGCUUGCAGCGGGAGGCGCUGCGCUGCCAGUAAUGUGCUUGUCACCUCGGAGACCAUUAAGAUAAUUUGCUCACAUCUGAGGGUAAGCAGGCCUUCCGUGUCAGAUGGGGACUCCUGCAGCGUGGCCUGUGUGCCCAAAUGUACUUGCUCCAAGUAAGGAGGCUUCCCUCUUUAAUAUGCCGGCACGCCUGUGGCUUUUGUCUCUAAGGAAGGAAGGUGGUUCUGGGGCAAAGCAUGCAUUCUUGCAGUGAAGAGGGAACUGCGUUGUCUGCUACCCGGUGAGAUACUCCUGAGCAGUAGAGGCCUCUCUUUUAUGCCAGCACCAUGAUUGCACAAUAGUGCAUCAGAUUAAAACCAUGUAGCUGAAUAAAGCAUACGAUCCACUCA
RNAcentral lists this long non-coding RNA (602 nucleotides) under Dromaius novaehollandiae (emu). Its description in RNAcentral is "lncRNA (ENSDNVG00000000164.1)". The record is from RNAcentral. Lineage: Eukaryota; Metazoa; Chordata; Aves; Casuariiformes; Dromaiidae.